RNAcentral lists this ribosomal RNA (300 nucleotides) under uncultured Rhodothermus sp. RNAcentral describes it as "bacterial SSU rRNA". It matches the Rfam family "Bacterial small subunit ribosomal RNA", at positions 496 to 795 of the family's 1533-position model. Lineage: Bacteria; Pseudomonadati; Rhodothermota; Rhodothermia; Rhodothermales; Rhodothermaceae. The record is from RNAcentral.
GCUCAUGUGGGUCGCGGCAGGCGCGGUAACACUGGGGGCGGAAGUGUUGACCGGAAUUAGUGGGCGGAAGGAGCUCGUAGGCGGAUUGUCACGUCUGCUGUGAAAAGCUGGGGCUUAACCCUGGCCUUGCAGUGGAUACGGGCAGACUAGAGGUAGGUAGGGGAGAAUGGAAUUCCCGGUGUAGCGGUGAAAUGCGCAGAUAUCGGGAGGAACACCGGUGGCGAAGGCGGUUCUCUGGGCCUUACCUGACGCUGAGGAGCGAAAGCGUGGGGAGCGAACAGGAUUAGAUACCCAGUAGUC